This 608-nucleotide ribosomal RNA is filed under the name Vreelandella aquamarina. RNAcentral describes it as "bacterial SSU rRNA". It matches the Rfam family "Bacterial small subunit ribosomal RNA", at positions 78 to 688 of the family's 1533-position model. Lineage: Bacteria; Pseudomonadati; Pseudomonadota; Gammaproteobacteria; Oceanospirillales; Halomonadaceae. The record is from RNAcentral.
UGCUGGAUGCUGACGCAGCGGCGGACGGGUGAGUAAUGCAUAGGAAUCUGCCCGAUAGUGGGGGAUAACCUGGGGAAACCCAGGCUAAUACCGCAUACCUCCUACGGGAGAAAGGGGGCUCCCGCUCCCGCUAUGGGAUGAGCCUAUGUCGGAUUAGCUAGUUGGUGAGGUAACGGCUCACCAAGGCCACGAUCCGUAGCUGGUCUGAGAGGAUGAUCAGCCACAUCGGGACUGAGACACGGUCCGAACUUCUACGGGAGGCAGCAGUGGGGAAUAUUGGACAAUGGGGGAAACCCUGAUCCAGCCCUGCCGCGUGUGUGAAGAAGGCCCUCGGGUUGUAAAGCACUUUCCGCGAGGAAGAACGCCCAGCGGUUAAUACCCCGCUAGGAAAGACCUCACUCGCAGAACAAGCACCGGCUAACUCCGUGCUCCGCAGCCGCGGUAAUACCGAGGGUGCAAGCGUUAAUCGGAAUUACCGGGCGUAAAGCGCGCGUAGGUGGCUUGAUAAGCCGGUUGUGAAAGCCCCGGGCUCAAUCUGGGAACGGCUCCCAGAACUGUCGGCUAGAGUGUAGGAGAGGAACGUAGAAUUCCCGGUGUAGCGUGACAUG